This 429-nucleotide ribosomal RNA is filed under the name uncultured bacterium. Its description in RNAcentral is "bacterial SSU rRNA". It matches the Rfam family "Bacterial small subunit ribosomal RNA", at positions 355 to 776 of the family's 1533-position model. RNAcentral also lists the same sequence under 1 other name. The record is from RNAcentral.
UGGGGAAUAUUGCACAAUGGGCGCAAGCCUGAUGCAGCCAUGCCGCGUGUAUGAAGAAGGCCUUAGGGUUGUAAAGUACUUUCAGCGGGGAGGAAGGUGAUAAGGUUAAUACCCUUAUCAAUUGACGUUACCCGCAGAAGAAGCACCGGCUAACUCCGUGCCAGCAGCCGCGGUAAUACGGAGGGUGCAAGCGUUAAUCGGAAUUACUGGGCGUAAAGCGCACGCAGGCGGUCAAUUAAGUCAGAUGUGAAAGCCCCGAGCUUAACUUGGGAAUUGCAUCUGAAACUGGUUGGCUAGAGUCUUGUAGAGGGGGGUAGAAUUCCAUGUGUAGCGGUGAAAUGCGUAGAGAUGUGGAGGAAUACCGGUGGCGAAGGCGGCCCCCUGGACAAAGACUGACGCUCAGGUGCGAAAGCGUGGGGAGCAAACAGG